GUAUGGCAUGCAGGUGAGAUGUAAGAGUACAUCAUCACUGAAAGUGACCAACUACGAAGCACUCUACUGUCAAGGCUAGCUCACGAAAGGUAUGGGUAAAAGUGUCCCUCCGAUUUGAGAUCAUCACAGUGACUUGCAAGCAACUCACUGUACUUUGGUACUGCACUAAUUGAGUUUCUAAUUCAGUGAUAAAAGAUUUUUGGAUGCAG
This 209-nucleotide long non-coding RNA is filed under the name Elaeis guineensis (African oil palm). Its description in RNAcentral is "long non-coding RNA (EGUI_LNC070531)". Lineage: Eukaryota; Viridiplantae; Streptophyta; Magnoliopsida; Arecales; Arecaceae. The record is from RNAcentral.